Molecule: ribosomal RNA, 250 nt
Filed under: uncultured bacterium
Lineage: Bacteria
Description: partial 16S ribosomal RNA
Rfam family: Bacterial small subunit ribosomal RNA
Source: RNAcentral
UACAGAGGGUGCAAGCGUUAAUCGGAAUGACUGGGCGUAAAGGGUGUGUAGGUGGCUAAUUAAGUUAGAUGUGAAAUCCCCGGGCUUAACCUGGGAACUGCAUUUAAUACUGGUUAGCUAGAGUAUGGGAGAGGUAAGUGGAAUUUCCGGUGUAGCGGUGAAAUGCGUAGAUAUCGGAAGGAACACCAGUGGCGAAGGCGGCUUACUGGCCUAAUACUGACACUGAAACACGAAAGCGUGGGGAGCAAAC